This is a long non-coding RNA of Bombus terrestris (buff-tailed bumblebee), 2590 nucleotides long. RefSeq lists it as uncharacterized. NCBI's taxonomy places the organism in Eukaryota, Metazoa, Arthropoda, Insecta, Hymenoptera, Apidae. The record is from RefSeq and is a predicted model, not a curated record. The transcript has 3 exons.
UUGAGGAUCGAUCUUCAAACUUAAUACGAGUGGGAUUUUCAACAGAUAAAAAGAUACGUUAGGAAUCAAAUUAAUAAGUUGGGAAACACUGACAUUAUGAUUCAUCGAUAAUAAUCUUUUAUCGAAGAAAUUCGACUUGACGGUAUUGGAUAAGUAUUAUCUCAACGGGUAUAAUAGUUUGACGUCACCGUCGAUUGCAACGAGUAAGUGGCAGACUAUCGAAUAUCGAGCGUUAUCGAUACCCGAUCAUACCGACCGAUUCAGAAUUGGUAGAUCAUCUUAUAAGUUCGAACCUUCAUUUUUUUCCUCGAUCUAUGUUUUUCUUAUCUAGUUCAUGAUUUUAAUUGUUUGAUAUUGUGUACUCGUGAUAUUUGCAACAUUUGUCGUUACGGCUAAAACGUUUAUUUGGAUAAAAGAUAAGUGAUAAGAACUGAUAGAAAAAGCUCGUAAGUCACCGUUGUUAUUAAGGCGAUUUUCGUUAAAACGACGGAAACAGAUAGCUAAAAAAUGUCGGGUUGAAACAUUUUUCUUGACGAAGCAUAAUUCAUUUCUCUUGUUAUCAUUUUUUUUUUUGCUAACCUAUAAUACAAGGACAGUUUAAAACUAACCUUGGUUGACCAAUGACAUCUUUAUCAAAGCAGUUAAACCGUUAACUAUACGUCGAUCCAAACAACGAUUUAGCGGGUUCUUCGAACGUCGCCUUAAUAAAUUCGCUUGACCCUUUUACCCAACUUCCACUUGCACGUGGUCAAUUAUAGUUCGCUAUAAAUCCUAUUCUAAAUAUAUAUCAAUAUUUAAACGCUUUGGCUUUGAAAACGUUAAAGAAGUCACGCGUCGAUGUUGUUUGUUUCACUUGAAAUAUAUAUGGCACAAAUUGAAAUAAAAUUCUAGUAGAGAACAGGGAUAAGAAGGAGUAAAUUGUAACGAACAUGAUAUGAUGCAACAGGCAUUUGUUGCAUAUAGAUACGCUAGAAUAUAUGCAGAAUAGUAGAAUGUAUAGUAAUCAUCCAUCAAUCAAUAUUAUAUAAAUUAAAAUUUGUUUAAAUUUCAAAACAGCAAUUUGAAUUUGUAACAGAUGAAAACAUUAUCCUGAAAUUACUUUGUUCUGGAAUAUGGUUAACUUAAGAAUGUUGCAAGUGUGGAUUACGAGGUAAAUUAUACACGAAAACCGUGUCACGUACUUGAUUUAUGAGAAAAGAGUAUCCUCGACUCAAUAUGACAGACCACCUCACGAUGCAUCUGCUGCAAUCCGUGCAUCACCUAAUAAAAGCACGAGAUGUUCGCGAUUUCAUUUCAGUGACUCACGUUCCAGAUGUCAAUGACAUAAAACGCAGCUUGCGCGCCUCCCGCUUUGUGUGUAUUUUCAACAAAAACUAAUCGAAUAGGUAUCGUAUCGCAUCAUUUGCAACUUUGUAUCCAUCUUUUACUAAACUUUCUAUGCACAUUUUUCGAGUAAAAAAGAUGCAAGGGAAGCUAACCUUAAUAUGGACUGUAUUCCCCACUCAUUUUUUGAACUAUUCCUAUCUAAACACUGUUAGUUACCUUUAUGGCUAGGCACAUUUAACUCUCCAAUACGUUAUAAGUUAUAAUACAAUUUCCAAACGUUAACAGAACCACGUAUAGUAUCGAAGAGUUAAAUUAAACUUACGUUCCAGCUGAUCAGCUUGUCAUAAAUGUCACACAGAGUUCAUCCACGAAACUUGUCACAUCACAGUUACGAUCACAAGAAGCGCCAACGUCAGAACAAAGACGUCCUCUUUCGAAACUGUAGAUCCGCGCGGUUCGAUACGUUUAAAGCGAUUCCACGAGACUUUUACUUUUAUUUAUCACGAACGAGAGUACAUACACGAGACUGGACUAUCGGUUCGUACACCUGGAUGACACCUGGAAAACUUGUUCCUCCGAAGAAAGCCACCGCCGAUCUCUCAGGGUGCCUUUUGUGCCCACCUCGAACAUAAAACUUAUGUGGAUCUUGUGUGCACACGCCACGGUGUAACACACGAAACUGCCGGCUUAAAGGAACUCUCUGUGCCGUAGAAAGAAGGUGGUGGAGGAAAAGAGGAAGACGUUUGAAGGCACAACAGAGAAGGAGAAACAGCCCAUUCCCUCCGUGUGUUCCGCGUGGUCGUGUUUGUAUGUGUCGAUACGUGCGUAUACGUACGAAUGUAUAUGUAUGUGUGUGAACGUUUGAGUAUUCGGCUGACGAUGCACAAAUAUUAGUGUAUGAGAAAAUACGUAUUUUUUGGAAAAUUUGUUAUAUUACAAAGAAAUCAGAGAUAUUAAGUUCCCGCGUUAAACUAGAGGGCACUGCUUUUGGGUCCGUUUCGAAAGCGUGAUGGAAUUAGAAACGUCUCGAAAGAGUCUAUAUGGGAUUGCUAGUAUGCCACGCACGUUCGAGGUUAUGUAUAGACGAUCACGAUUAUUGGUCCUCUUAGGAAAUACAUACUACGAUUGUGAUCUAUCCAUAUAUAAAACUUAUCUGUCGAACAUUAUGACUCUUUCUUCUUCCAAAUCAUGGAAGCAUAUGUAAUCAAAUUUUAUCGAAAUAGUUUGUCAAGAUUAUUAUUAAAAUAUACAAUUUUAUUUUGUA